RNAcentral lists this ribosomal RNA (398 nucleotides) under uncultured bacterium. RNAcentral describes it as "partial 16S ribosomal RNA". It matches the Rfam family "Bacterial small subunit ribosomal RNA", at positions 523 to 918 of the family's 1533-position model. The record is from RNAcentral.
AUACGUAGGGUGCGAGCGUUGUCCGGAAUUACUGGGCGUAAAGAGCUCGUAGGUGGUUUGUCGCGUCGUCUGUGAAAUUCCGGGGCUUAACUCCGGGCGUGCAGGCGAUACGGGCAUAACUUGAGUACUGUAGGGGAGACUGGAAUUCCUGGUGUAGCGGUGAAAUGCGCAGAUAGCAGGAGGAACACCGGUGGCGAAGGAGGGUCUCUGGGCGGUAACUGGCGCUGAGGGGCGAAAGCAUGGGUAGCGAACAGUAUUAGAUCCCCUGGUAGUCCAUGCCGUAAACGGUGGGCGCUAGGUGUAGGGGUCUUCCACGACUUCUGUGCCGUAGCUAACGCAUUAAGCGCCCCGCCUGGGGAGUACGGCCGCAAGGCUAAAACUCAAAGGAAUUGACGGGG